GACGAACGCUGGCGGCGUGCCUUACGCAUGCAAGUCGAGCGGUCCACUUCGGUGGACAGCGGCAGACGGCUGAGUAACACGUAAGUAACCUGUCCUUCAGUGGGGGACAACCCCGCGAAAGCGGGGCUAAUACCGCGUACGCUCCCGGAGGGAAGUGUUCCGGGAGGAAAGCCUUCGGGCGCUGAAGGAGGGGCUUGCGGCCUAUCAGGUAGUUGGCAGGGUAACGGCCUACCAAGCCUACGACGGGUAGCUGGUCUGAGAGGACGACCAGCCAGACGGGGACUGAGACACGGCCCCGACUCCUACGGGAGGCAGCAGCGAGGGAUCUUGCGCAAUGGGCGAAAGCCUGACGCAGCAACGCCGCGUGGAGGAAGAAGGCCCUAGGGUCGUAAACUCCUUUUGCAGGGGAAGAAGGUCUGACGGUACCCUGCGAAUAAGCCACGGCUAACUACGUG
RNAcentral lists this ribosomal RNA (455 nucleotides) under uncultured bacterium. RNAcentral describes it as "bacterial SSU rRNA". It matches the Rfam family "Bacterial small subunit ribosomal RNA", at positions 28 to 507 of the family's 1533-position model. The record is from RNAcentral.